Molecule: ribosomal RNA, 253 nt
Filed under: uncultured bacterium
Lineage: Bacteria
Description: partial 16S ribosomal RNA
Rfam family: Bacterial small subunit ribosomal RNA
Source: RNAcentral
UACGAAGGGUGCAAGCGUUACUCGGAAUUACUGGGCGUAAAGCGUGCGUAGGCGGUUUGUUAAGUCCGUUGUGAAAGCCCUGGGCUCAACCUGGGAAUUGCAGUGGAUACUGGCGAGCUAGAGUGCGGUAGAGGAUGGUGGAAUUCCCGGUGUAGCGGUGAAAUGCGUAGAGAUCGGGAGGAACACCGGUGGCGAAGGCGGCCAACUGGACCAUUUCUGACGCUGAGGCGCGAAAGCGUGGGGAGCAAACAGG